AAAUUGAAGAGUUUGAUCAUGGCUCAGAUUGAACGCUGGCGGCAGGCCUAACACAUGCAAGUCGAACGGUAACAGGAAGAAGCUUGCUUCUUUGCUGACGAGUGGCGGACGGGUGAGUAAUGUCUGGGAAACUGCCUGAUGGAGGGGGAUAACUACUGGAAACGGUAGCUAAUACCGCAUAAUGUCGCAAGACCAAAGAGGGGGACCUUCGGGCCUCUUGCCAUCGGAUGUGCCCAGAUGGGAUUAGCUAGUAGGUGGGGUAAAGGCUCACCUAGGCGACGAUCCCUAGCUGGUCUGAGAGGAUGACCAGCCACACUGGAACUGAGACACGGUCCAGACUCCUACGGGAGGCAGCAGUGGGGAAUAUUGCACAAUGGGCGCAAGCCUGAUGCAGCCAUGCCGCGUGUAUGAAGAAGGCCUUCGGGUUGUAAAGUACUUUCAGCGG
Molecule: ribosomal RNA, 445 nt
Filed under: Escherichia coli
Lineage: Bacteria; Pseudomonadati; Pseudomonadota; Gammaproteobacteria; Enterobacterales; Enterobacteriaceae
Description: bacterial SSU rRNA
Rfam family: Bacterial small subunit ribosomal RNA
Source: RNAcentral